RNAcentral lists this long non-coding RNA (1851 nucleotides) under Sus scrofa (pig). RNAcentral describes it as "lncRNA (ENSSSCG00055007077.1)". Lineage: Eukaryota; Metazoa; Chordata; Mammalia; Artiodactyla; Suidae. The record is from RNAcentral.
UUUUUUUUUCCUUUUCUUUCAUUUUCUUCCUUUUUUUAGGGCUGCAUUCGAGGCAUAUGGAAUUCCCAUGAGAAAAGCGCCCUCUCUGUACUGCAAAAACAAGAAUAUCUUUAUCACCAUAGAUUUGGAACAGACAUUGCAAUGGUUCUGUACAAAACAAACUUACUAAAAUAAUCCUGUCUUCCACCAGUUCCCCCUCCAAUAUUCUCUCCUAGUCAUUCCCCCACAAUGUACUGCCCCUGGCCCAAACCCCCAAACCCCUUUGUCAUCACUUCUUCAUAAAUUGAUCAUUUCUUUGUCUAAAAGGCAUAAAAGUUUCUGCUCUGUUCUUCAUUAUCUUGUGAAAGCUUCAUGCACAUGUAAAAAUGUAAUAAAACUUGUUUGCUUUUCUCCUGUUAGUUCAUCUUAUGUCAGUUUAAUUAAUUCUUAGGUCCAGCUAGAGAACCCAGGAGGAUCGAGAAUUUUUCCUCCCCUACCACUCAAACUAAGUCACACACAUGCCAGGUUCUUAGUGCUGUGCCUGAAGCUCAGGAUCAAACCAAGUGUAAUGUGGGAGUAAAAAUAGCUCCCGUUCCCUAAAGGUUGGCCCUCCUGAGCUCCAGCCCCAUAUACCUGACAGCACACUGCUCUUUAGUUCAACCUGCAAAAGCCAUCUCCCCAUCUGCCCCACACACACCUGGGAAUAGCGCCAUCUCCCACUCAUUCUCGCAAGCCAGAAACCUGGACAUCACCCUCAGUUUUCCCCUUUCCCUCCCCUGCCCUCUACCACUUCCAGCCGUUCACCAGGACCUACCCAUCUGACCUCCUAAAUCUUCCCUGGGAUCAAUCACUUCUCUCCCAUCCCCACAACCACAGAGCCAAGCAAGACCCCCACCAUCUCUGGCCUCGAACCACUGGUGUAGCCUCCUAACUAUUGUCUCCUGUUCCCCUAACCGCCAACUCCCCCCCGCCCAAUACCACAGCCAGAGAAACCAGUCUUGGGAACUGCAAAUCAUAACAGCAACAAUGAACACUCAGUGAAUGCUGACUUUGUGCUAGGCACUGCUCUGACCUUAUGCCUCCCCCACUUAAAAUCCUCCACUUUCUGUGGCACUCAGGACAAAAACCCCCACCUCUUUGCUUAGGCCUCGAAGGCCCUGCAUGAGCUGGGCCACGGCUCUUUCUCUAUUUCCCCUGCUGGAUGGAAUUCUAAAGGGUCUCUUUCUGAACAAUUGUGUGCCUCAGUUUUCUGCUUUUAUUUCUGUGUGGAGAACUGAUGUCAAAGAUAAACACAGCCAGACAUUGGCUAAAGCAAUGAAAACAGAUUUUAUUCAGUAACUGAUAGUGAUGGAGGAGACACAGGUAGUUUUAGAAGUCCCAUUAAAGGAUCUAGAUAGAGAGGGGAAUCUGGGGGACUAUGGGAGAUCACUGUAAGUAAAUAAACUGCUCAAAAAAGCCAUCAGAACAAGGCAGCUUUGCUUCAUUAGUGGAGCCUAGAGAAUCACCUCAGGUCUUUGUGGUGGGGAUGGAAUGAGGCCUGCAUUCAGAGUCAGACCACGGGCAGGAGUUUGAGGACCACCCUUCUGCUGAUUUGAAUACACACCUUGCCUGAUACUAAAGAGGAGCUACUGCUCCCAGAAAGGAAGAGGGGGGCUUUUCCAACCCCCACUCCCCUUGGAGGAUAAAACUGUAGCCCACCGGAUCCUCUGGGCAGUUUCCGUGCCUGGCCCCCUUGCUUCUCUCACAAGCAUCCUAUCCUAACAAAUCCAUUUCUUGCCUGUCGCUUUGUCUCUUGCUGAAUUCCUUCUGCGCAGAGUCAUGAAGAACCUGAACCUCAGUGAGUCCAGACACAGGGUGAGUGAUUCUAACUUA